CCCGGCCUGGUGAAACAGGCAGACACGCUGACCUCAAAAGUCAGUGCCGCAAGGCGUGAAGGUUCGCCUCCUUCGGCCGGGACCA
RNAcentral lists this transfer RNA (85 nucleotides) under Hyphomicrobiaceae bacterium. Its description in RNAcentral is "tRNA-Leu". Lineage: Bacteria; Pseudomonadati; Pseudomonadota; Alphaproteobacteria; Hyphomicrobiales; Hyphomicrobiaceae. The record is from RNAcentral.